Molecule: ribosomal RNA, 253 nt
Filed under: uncultured bacterium
Lineage: Bacteria
Description: partial 16S ribosomal RNA
Rfam family: Bacterial small subunit ribosomal RNA
Source: RNAcentral
GACGUAGGGUGCAAGCGUUGUCCGGAAUUACUGGGCGUAAAGCGUGCGCAGGCGGCUCAUUAAGACAGGCGUGAAAUCCCCGGGCUUAACCUGGGAACUGCGCUUGUGACUGGUGGGCUGGAGUGUGUCAGAGGGAGGUGGAAUUCCACGUGUAGCAGUGAAAUGCGUAGAGAUGUGGAGGAACACCGAUGGCGAAGGCAGCCUCCUGGGACAACACUGACGCUCAUGCACGAAAGCGUGGGGAGCAAACAGG